AGUGGACGCUGGCGGUAGGCCUAACACAUGCAAGUCGAACGGCAGCACAGUAAGAGCUUGCUCUUACGGGUGGCGAGUGGCGGACGGGUGAGGAAUACAUCGGAAUCUACUUUUUCGUGGGGGAUAACGUAGGGAAACUUACGCUAAUACCGCAUACGACCUACGGGUGAAAGCAGGGGAUCUUCGGACCUUGCGCGAUUGAAUGAGCCGAUGUCGGAUUAGCUAGUUGGCGGGGUAAAGGCCCACCAAGGCGACGAUCCGUAGCUGGUCUGAGAGGAUGAUCAGCCACACUGGAACUGAGACACGGUCCAGACUCCUACGGGAGGCAGCAGUGGGGAAUAUUGGACAAUGGGCGCAAGCCUGAUCCAGCCAUACCGCGUGGGUGCAGAAGGCCUUCGGGUUGUAAAGCCCUUUUGUUGGGAAAGAAAAGCAGCAGGUUAAUACCCCGCUGUUCUGACGGUACCCAAAGAAUAAGCACCGGCUAACUUCGUG
This 492-nucleotide ribosomal RNA is filed under the name uncultured bacterium. RNAcentral's name for it is "partial 16S ribosomal RNA". It matches the Rfam family "Bacterial small subunit ribosomal RNA", at positions 29 to 507 of the family's 1533-position model. The record is from RNAcentral.